This is a long non-coding RNA of Neltuma alba, 331 nucleotides long. RefSeq lists it as uncharacterized. The transcript is spliced from 2 exons. The record is from RefSeq and is a predicted model, not a curated record. Lineage: Eukaryota; Viridiplantae; Streptophyta; Magnoliopsida; Fabales; Fabaceae.
UGGAAGAAGAGGAAGAAGACCGAAGUGGUAGGAGAGGAAGACAGGGAUAUUUCUUGGGUGCAAGCUUGGAUUUAGACUAAGAGUUGAUAGGGCUGCUUUUGGAAAUUUUGAAGAGGCGAGAUUGUGCAUAUUCCAAUAAAGGUUAUGGUUUAAGUGUUGCAUACAUGUGUGUGGUAGAAAGCUUGAUGGGUUUGAAUUUUUGAAGCCGGAAUCUGAUUCAAAACUCCCUGUUUGGUGUUUCCAAAUGCUGAAUAACUUUUAUAGAUGAUCAAACCAUGCUUAGAGAUGCUGAAAGGAUGACUGGAUGGAAAUUAAUGGAGCUGGAAUUUCA